Molecule: ribosomal RNA, 232 nt
Filed under: uncultured bacterium
Lineage: Bacteria
Description: partial 16S ribosomal RNA
Rfam family: Bacterial small subunit ribosomal RNA
Source: RNAcentral
AGUAACACGUGGGUAACCUGCCCAUCAGAGGGGGAUAACAUUCGGAAACGGAUGCUAAAACCGCAUAGGUCCUUUAACCGCAUGGUUGAAGGAGGAAAAGAGGCGCAAGCUUCUGCUGAUGGAUGGACCCGCGGUGCAUUAGCUAGUUGGUAAGGUAACGGCUCACCAAGGCCGUGAUGCAUAGCCGACCUGAGAGGGUGAUCGGCCACAUUGGGACUGAGACACGGCCCAA